AUACAACGAAGAGUUUGAUCCUGGCUCAGGAUGAACGCUAGCGAUAGGCCUAACACAUGCAAGUCGAGGGGCAUCACAUGAAGUAGCAAUACGGAUGGUGGCGACCGGCGCACGGGUGAGUAACACGUAUGCAACCUGCCUUCAACAAGGGGAUAACCCGUUGAAAGACGGACUAAUACCCUAUAACACAGGGGUCCCGCAUGGGAAUAUUUGUUAAAGGACAACCGGUUGAAGAUGGGCAUG
RNAcentral lists this ribosomal RNA (243 nucleotides) under Porphyromonadaceae bacterium NLAE-zl-C104. Its description in RNAcentral is "16S rRNA. Bacterial SSU". It matches the Rfam family "Bacterial small subunit ribosomal RNA", at positions 1 to 233 of the family's 1533-position model. Lineage: Bacteria; Pseudomonadati; Bacteroidota; Bacteroidia; Bacteroidales; Porphyromonadaceae. The record is from RNAcentral.